Molecule: small RNA, 932 nt
Filed under: Microascus gracilis
Lineage: Eukaryota; Fungi; Ascomycota; Sordariomycetes; Microascales; Microascaceae
Description: eukaryotic LSU rRNA
Rfam family: Eukaryotic large subunit ribosomal RNA
Source: RNAcentral
ACCCGCUGAACUUAAGCAUAUCAAUAAGCGGAGGAAAAGAAACCAACAGGGAUUGCCCCAGUAACGGCGAGUGAAGCGGCAACAGCUCAAAUUUGAAAUCUGGUCCCCCCGCGGGGCCCGAGUUGUAAUUUGAAGAGGAUGCUUCUGGCAAGGUGCCGUCCGAGUUCCCUGGAACGGGACGCCGCAGAGGGUGAGAGCCCCGUACGGUCGGACGCCGAGCCUCUGUGAAGCUCCUUCGACGAGUCGAGUAGUUUGGGAAUGCUGCUCAAAAUGGGAGGUAAACCCCUUCUAAAGCUAAAUACCGGCCAGAGACCGAUAGCGCACAAGUAGAGUGAUCGAAAGAUGAAAAGCACUUUGAAAAGAGAGUUAAAAAGCACGUGAAAUUGUUGAAAGGGAAGCGCUUGCGACCAGACUCGCGCCCGUCGGAUCAGCCGUCGCUCGUCGGCGGCGCACUCCGGCGGGCUCGGGCCAGCAUCAGUUCGCCUCGGGGGGAGAAAGGCGGCGGGAAUGUGGCUCUACGGAGUGUUAUAGCCCGCCGCGUAAUACCCCCGGGCGGACUGAGGACCGCGCGUAUGCAAGGAUGCUGGCGUAAUGGUCGUCAGCGACCCGUCUUGAAACACGGACCAAGGAGUCGUCCUAAUAUGCGAGUGUACGGGUGUCAAACCCCUGCGCGUAAUGAAAGUGAACGGAGGUGAGAGCUUCGGCGCAUCAUCGACCGAUCCUGAUGUUCUCGGAUGGAUUUGAGUAAGAGCAUAUUGGGCCGGACCCGAAAGAAGGUGAACUAUGCCUGUGUAGGGUAAAGCCAGAGGAAACUCUGGUGGAGGCUCGCAGCGGUUCUGACGUGCAAAUCGAUCGUCAAACAUGGGCAUNGGGGGCGAAAGACUAAUCGAACCUUCUAGUAGCUGGGUUUCCGCCGAAGUUUYCCCUCAGGA